RNAcentral lists this ribosomal RNA (515 nucleotides) under uncultured bacterium. RNAcentral describes it as "partial 16S ribosomal RNA". It matches the Rfam family "Bacterial small subunit ribosomal RNA", at positions 28 to 523 of the family's 1533-position model. The record is from RNAcentral.
GAUGAACGCUGGCGGCGUGCCUGAUACAUGCAAGUCGAGCGAAUGGAUUGAGAGCUUGCUCUUAUGAAGUUAGCGGCGGACGGGUGAGUAACACGUGGGUAACCUGCCCAUAAGACUGGGAUAACUCCGGGAAACCGGGGCUAAUACCGGAUAACAUUUUGAACCGCAUGGUUCGAAAUUGAAAGGCGGCUUCGGCUGUCACUUAUGGAUGGACCCGCGUCGCAUUAGCUAGUUGGUGAGGUAACGGCUCACCAAGGCAACGAUGCGUAGCCGACCGGAGAGGGUGAUCGGGCACACUGGGACUGGGACACCGCCCAGACUCCUACGGGGGGCAGCAGUAGGGAAUCUUCCGCAAUGGACGAAAGUCUGACGGAGCAACGCCGCGUGAGUGAUGAAGGCUUUCGGGUCGUAAAACUCUGUUGUUAGGGAAGAACAAGUGCUAGUUGAAUAAGCUGGCACCUUGACGGUACCUAACCAGAAAGCCACGGCUAACUACGUGCCAGCCGCCGCGGUAA